GUUGAAASGGAAGCGCUUGCGACCAGACUUGCCCGCGGGUGAUCAACCGUCCUUCGGGGCGGUGCACUGACCCGCGGUGCAGGCCAKCAUCGGUUUCGGCGGCCAGAUAAACGGGGCGGGAACGUGGCUCCCCCCGGGGAGUGUUAUAACCCGCCUCAGCRUGUGGCCCGCCGGGACCGAGGACCGCGCUCCGGCUAGGAUGCUGGCGUAAUGGUCGUCAGCGACCCGUCUUGAAMCACGGACCAAGGAGUUGUCMAACGACGCGMGUCUUUGGGUGUUAMACCCACAGGCGCARUGAAAGUGAACKGAGGUGGGAACCCCCCUUGGGGGCGCACCAUCGACCGAUCCUGAUGUCUUCGGAUGGGAUUUGAGUACSAGCGUCNGUUGACUGAYCCKAAAGAUGGUGAACUAUGCGUGAAUAGGGUGAASCCMGAGGAAACUSUGGUGGAGGCUCGCAGCGGUUCUGACGUGCAAAUCGAUCGUCAAAUUUGCGUAUAGGGGCGAAAGACUAAUCGAACCAUCUAGUAGCUGGUUCCAGCCGAAGUUUCCCUCAGAUAGCAGUAACGUUUUCAGUUUUAUGAGGUAAAGCGAAUGAUUAGAGGGCCUUGGGGGAUGAAACAUCCUUAACCUAUUCUCAAACUUUUAAUAUGGUAAGAAGUCCUUGUUGGCUUAAUUGAACGUGGAC
RNAcentral lists this ribosomal RNA (685 nucleotides) under Placopsis sp. Dillman 2014183. RNAcentral describes it as "partial 28S large subunit ribosomal RNA". It matches the Rfam family "Eukaryotic large subunit ribosomal RNA", at positions 407 to 1106 of the family's 3401-position model. The record is from RNAcentral. Lineage: Eukaryota; Fungi; Ascomycota; Lecanoromycetes; Trapeliales; Trapeliaceae.